UACGGAGGGUGCAAGCGUUGUCCGGAUUUAUUGGGUUUAAAGGGUGCGUAGGUGGCCCGUUAAGUCCGGGGUGAAAGCCCACUGCUCAACAGUGGAACUGCCCUGGAUACUGACGGGCUUGAGUCCAGACGAGGUUGGCGGAAUGGAUGGUGUAGCGGUGAAAUGCAUAGAUACCAUCCAGAACCCCGAUUGCGUAGGCAGCUGACUAGGCUGGUACUGACACUGAGGCACGAAAAGCGUGGGGAGCGAACAGG
This 254-nucleotide ribosomal RNA is filed under the name uncultured bacterium. RNAcentral's name for it is "partial 16S ribosomal RNA". It matches the Rfam family "Bacterial small subunit ribosomal RNA", at positions 524 to 776 of the family's 1533-position model. The record is from RNAcentral.